This 471-nucleotide ribosomal RNA is filed under the name uncultured bacterium. RNAcentral describes it as "bacterial SSU rRNA". It matches the Rfam family "Bacterial small subunit ribosomal RNA", at positions 15 to 518 of the family's 1533-position model. The record is from RNAcentral.
GAUUAUGGCUCACAACGAACGCUGGCGGCAGGUCUAGGCAUGCAAGUCGAACGGAUGACAGAGAGCUUGCUCUCUGAAGUCAGUGGCGCACGAGUGAGUAACGCGUGGGAAACUGCCCUUCACUGGGGAAUAACGUUUGGAAACGAACGCUAAUACCGCAUACGCCCGCAAGGGGAAAGAUUUAUCGGUGAUGGAUGUGCCCGCGUUGGAUUAGCUAGUUGGUGGGGUAAUAGCCUACCAAGGCGAUGAUCCAUAGCUGGUCUGAGAGGACGAUCAGCCACGCUGGAACUGAGACACGGUCCAGACUCCUACGGGAGGCAGCAGCUAAGAAUAUUGGGCAAUGGAGGAAACUCUGACCCAGCCAAUGCCGCGUGAAUGAAGAAGGCCUUCGGGUUGUAAAGUUCUUUUAGUCAUGAAGAUGAUGACAGUAGUGACAGAAAAAGCACCGGCUAACUUCGUGCCAGCAGCCGC